UUUCUUUCUUUCUCUUCCCUUUUCUUGCACCAGAUCCAACUUCUUCCUACUUUUCUUCUCUUCGUUUUCCCUUGUUCCCCCAGCUCAAAACUGAGUGAGAGAGUAAGAUCAAGUGGAAAACAUCUGCCUCCAGCCGCUGGGAAAAGAGCCCAAGUCGAUUUCAACCCCUUCAGCCCUUCUCCCUUCGAAGAAGCCCUUCUGCCGUUGCUAGAAGGGACCUUUUUGUGCGGGUUUUCCUCUAUGAUUCUCAAUUUCGCUCCCUUCUUGGUAUAUUCAAAGUCACCCGUUGGGAUUUUAGCAAGCAACGUGAGUGCUUACAACGUGGGUGCUAGCAAGGAAGGGCUCGCACUAAUCUUCUGGGAUUCCCUUUUCUUUGAUUUGCUCGAGUUGCUGGAAGGGUGCCAAUUUCCGUGUGAACAAAACUGUUGACCCAAACCCGUGGGUAUUGUGCAUCAGUACAUAAGUCAUAUUUCGGAAGCUCAGAUCAGAAAACUUCCUCAAUCAAAGUUGUUCAUCUGCUCGAGUACUAUAGCCAGUAAAAUUUGCAGAAUUUUUUGAAAUUUUCUGAUACCUCAAAGCUGGUUUGCAACUUCUGCAUUCAUCCAUGGCUGGAGUUGUCGUAUGGCCAUGAGAAGAAGUUCUUGCAAGUAUUAGUUGCCGAAGUAUCCAUCUUCAGAAAGACCAAUUCUUAAGUAUGCC
Prunus mume (Japanese apricot) is the source of this 699-nucleotide non-coding RNA. The record is from RefSeq and is a predicted model, not a curated record. Lineage: Eukaryota; Viridiplantae; Streptophyta; Magnoliopsida; Rosales; Rosaceae.